Molecule: non-coding RNA, 83 nt
Organism: Canis lupus familiaris (dog)
Lineage: Eukaryota; Metazoa; Chordata; Mammalia; Carnivora; Canidae
Source: Rfam
GCCUGGGUGGCUCAGUGGUUGAGCAUCUGCCUUAGGCUCAGAGCGUGAUCCCACGGUCCUGGGAUCGAGUCCCACAUCAGGCU